GGAGGAGGCGGCAGGGGCGGGCGGCCCGCACCAGCCAUGCCGAAUAAAAACAAGAAGGAGAAAGAACCAGCAAAAUCGGGGAAAAGUGGAAAAAG
Molecule: non-coding RNA, 95 nt
Organism: Phascolarctos cinereus (koala)
Lineage: Eukaryota; Metazoa; Chordata; Mammalia; Diprotodontia; Phascolarctidae
Source: RefSeq, a predicted model, not a curated record